CCUACGGGUGGCAGCAGUGGGGAAUAUUGCACAAUGGGCGAAAGCCUGAUGCAGCAACGCCGCGUGAGCGAUGAAGGCCUUCGGGUCGUAAAGCUCUGUCCUCAAGGAAGAUAAUGACGGUACUUGAGGAGGAAGCCCCGGCUAACUACGUGCCAGCAGCCGCGGUAAUACGUAGGGGGCUAGCGUUAUCCGGAAUUACGGGGCGUAAAGGGUGCGUAGGGGGUUUCGAAAGUCGGAGGUGAAAGGCUAGGGUCAAACCGUAGAAAGCCGUUGAAACUGGGAAACUUGAGUGCAGGAGAGGAGAGUGGAAUUCCUAGUGUAGCGGUGAAAUGCGUAGAUAUUAGGAGGAACACCAGUUGCGAAGGCGGCUCUCUGGACUGUAACUGACACUGAGGCACGAAAGCGUGGGGAGCAAACAGGAUUAGAUACCCCUGUAGUC
This 439-nucleotide ribosomal RNA is filed under the name uncultured bacterium. RNAcentral's name for it is "partial 16S ribosomal RNA". It matches the Rfam family "Bacterial small subunit ribosomal RNA", at positions 338 to 795 of the family's 1533-position model. The record is from RNAcentral.